This 824-nucleotide long non-coding RNA is filed under the name Mus spicilegus (steppe mouse). RNAcentral's name for it is "lncRNA (ENSMSIG00000019737.1)". The record is from RNAcentral. Lineage: Eukaryota; Metazoa; Chordata; Mammalia; Rodentia; Muridae.
GCGCUGCUCAGCCUGCUGGGCUGGAGUUCUAUUCACAUCAUUUCUUUCGCCGUUGAAGUUCCCUGUGCUGUGAGGGAAAUGGUAAGAAGCCUGCCACACCAAUUUGGACUGGCCUAGUCCUCCGAGCUGUUUAUUUCCCCAUCCCAGUGAACUGGUAACUCAAGUUGGAAACUGUGUCUCAUUCACAAUUACAGAUGACUUAAUAAUAACAACACGUAAAUCCCUAGAAAUAAGACUUCGAAGGAGGAUCAUCACUAUUAUUUACUCUACGCCUGCCCAAGACCUCCCUCAGUUCCUUGUCUGCAGGCCUAAACAUCUGAGCAGAGAAAAUAAAAGCAAAGAGUUCCCUAAAAUGCCACCAUACAGAAGGUUCAGAGAGGCCCCUGCAAUCAAGCACAUCCCUGGCACCUCUUCAGUGGAAGCUCCUCUGACACCCAUCAAGUUGGUCGUCAUUAAUGCCUUAUUCCCAUCUUCAUUGGCUCCCUGGCUGCACCCUUUGGCUUUAAACUCUCCUAAAGAUGGCUGUCCUGUUAUGAAGGCUGCUUGCUAACUGUUUAAAGUCUGCUCGGAUCUUCUAUUAUGGGCAUUCUGUCUUGUCAGCUCAUCUGACGUCAACCAGCAUGAACCACGUUAAUAGCUUGCAUUGCCUCUUGAUCACAUAAGCCCCUCGAACUUUUAUCUGUAUAUUGUCCUAGAGAACAUGAGGCACGGAUCCUCUCUUUUCUUUAUCUCCGUGCACAGUUUCCUGAUAGAGAGAAGCAGAGAGCUCAGUGGGUACAGCUCUGGGGAUGUAGCUGAAUUGUUGAUUUGGAUGAAACUUGAAC